This 254-nucleotide unclassified non-coding RNA is filed under the name Hevea brasiliensis (rubber tree). Lineage: Eukaryota; Viridiplantae; Streptophyta; Magnoliopsida; Malpighiales; Euphorbiaceae. The record is from RNAcentral.
AAAAAAAAAAAAAAGAAUUUUCUAACCAGAAAGGAGUUCACUUAAUUAGCUGUACAAAGUAAUAAAAAUACACGUAUGAUACACAGGAGGAAAAACAAACAGACAGCGCAGAGACAGAGCCCUCUCCGAAGGCCCAGAGUUUUGAUAUCUUGGGCAUUUUGAAAACUGAGGAUGACGAGGGUUCUUCCUUUUUUUUAUUUCCAGUUCCACACAGUUAUUGACUUAUUGUAUUACAGUUUAGUUAGCAAAUUAAU